CCUACGGGGGGCAGCAGUGGGGAAUAUUGCACAAUGGGGGAAACCCUGAUGCAGCGACGCCGCGUGAGUGAAGAAGUAUUUCGGUACGUAAAGCUCUGUCAGCAGGGAAGAAAAUGACGGUACCUGACUAAGAAGCCCCGGCUAACUACGUGCCAGCAGCCGCGGUAAUACGUAGGUGGCGAGCGUUAUCCGGAUUUAUUGGGCGUAAAGCGUCCGCAGCCGGUUUAUUAAGUCUAAGAUUAAAGCCCGAAGCUUAACUUCGGUUCGUUUUAGAAACUGGUAGACUCGAGU
Molecule: ribosomal RNA, 291 nt
Filed under: uncultured bacterium
Lineage: Bacteria
Description: partial 16S ribosomal RNA
Rfam family: Bacterial small subunit ribosomal RNA
Source: RNAcentral